UAGCUCAGUUGGUUAGAGCGCCACGUUCACACCGUGGAGGUCACAGGUUCGAAUCCUGUGCUGCCCA
Molecule: transfer RNA, 67 nt
Filed under: Planctomycetia bacterium
Lineage: Bacteria; Pseudomonadati; Planctomycetota; Planctomycetia
Description: tRNA-Val
Rfam family: tRNA
About the family: Transfer RNA (tRNA) molecules are approximately 80 nucleotides in length. Their secondary structure includes four short double-helical elements and three loops (D, anti-codon, and T loops). Further hydrogen bonds mediate the characteristic L-shaped molecular structure. tRNAs have two regions of fundamental functional importance: the anti-codon, which is responsible for specific mRNA codon recognition, and the 3' end, to which the tRNAs corresponding amino acid is attached (by aminoacyl-tRNA synthetases). tRNAs cope with the degeneracy of the genetic code in two manners: having more than one tRNA (with a specific anti-codon) for a particular amino acid; and 'wobble' base-pairing, i.e. permitting non-standard base-pairing at the 3rd anti-codon position.
Source: RNAcentral